Long non-coding RNA from Mangifera indica (mango), 834 nucleotides. RefSeq lists it as uncharacterized. NCBI's taxonomy places the organism in Eukaryota, Viridiplantae, Streptophyta, Magnoliopsida, Sapindales, Anacardiaceae. The transcript is spliced from 3 exons. The record is from RefSeq and is a predicted model, not a curated record.
AUUUUCCAAUUAAACGGGUUACUCGUCCUUCUCCGUUAUAACAGGAGAAAUGGAUCAGGGUUCGAGUUUGUUAAGGAAAGAAUGGCUAGAGCUGGCGGUAAAACAGACGUAGUGAACGUCGGUAUCGCUGUUCAAGCUGAUUGGGAAAAUCGAGAGUUUAUUUCUCACAUUUGUCUAAACGUUCGUCGCCUUUUCGAAUUCUUUGUCCAGUUUGGCUACUGGGGAAGCAAAAUUGAUUACAUUGAGUUUAGAAAGUCCCACAUUUCAAUCUUACUAAUUCAGGCUGUCGCUUCUUGUUCUUUCUGAGGCUACAACUAAGAGCAAAUUAGCAUCACUAAAUGAGCAGCUUGACACGCUGGAGCGUCGUUUAGAACUGCUUCAAGUCAAAGUGAGUACUGCAUCAUCAAAUCCACCACUGUUCGCUACCUGAUGUCUCUAAUCAUGUGACUGUAGAUAACCCGUUUCCAAUGUUAGACCAUUGCAGGUUUACACAAGAAGGCAGAAGAGAGGAACAGCCAUGGCCGCAGCAAACAAGCUGGAGAAGGAGAUGUCAGCCAAGUCUAAGGAGGACAAAUCAGCAGAUGGUUCAGUUAAGCAGUUAGUUGAGCCAGAUGGAUGUGUAGUUAGACAGUUAGAUGAGUAAUUUGUAAUGGCGGGAAAUAUAUUAGGAAGGGGAACAAGGAGAGUGAAAUUAUGUUGUAUUUUGUAGAGGGAGAUUGAGAGCAUUGUAUCGAGAGAACCAGUAUCUUAACGGCUAGUAAUUCUUGUAUGCAUGGGAAUUGUAAUCAUAAUUGAAGUAUAUUUAUUCAAUGAUUGAAUUACUGUUAUUUACAA